GAUGAACGCUGGCGGCGUGCCUAAUACAUGCAAGUCGAGCGAACAGAUGAGGAUCUUGCGCUUCUGACGUUAGCGGCGGACGGGUGAGUAACACGUGGAUAACCUACCUCUAUGACUGGGAUAACUUCGGGAAACGGGAGCUAAUACCGGAUACUAUAUUGAACCGCAUGGUUCAAUAGUGAAAGACGGUUUUGCUGUCACUUAUAGAUGGAUCCGCGCCGCAUUAGCUAGUUGGUAAGGUAACGGCUUACCAAGGCAACGAUGCGUAGCCGACCUGAGAGGGUGAUCGGCCACACUGGAACUGAGACACGGUCCAGACUCCUACGGGAGGCAGCAGUAGGGAAUCUUCCGCAAUGGGCGAAAGCCUGACGGAGCAACGCCGCGUGAGUGAUGAAGGUCUUCGGAUCGUAAAACUCUGUUAUUAGGGAAGAACAAAUGUGUAAGUAACUAUGCACGUCUUGACGGUACCUAAUCAGAAAGCCACGGCUAACUACGUG
This 497-nucleotide ribosomal RNA is filed under the name uncultured bacterium. Its description in RNAcentral is "partial 16S ribosomal RNA". It matches the Rfam family "Bacterial small subunit ribosomal RNA", at positions 28 to 507 of the family's 1533-position model. The record is from RNAcentral.